AUACGUAGGUGACAAGCGUUAUCCGGAUUUACUGGGCGUAAAGGGCGUGUAGGCGGUUUAGCAAGUCAGAAGUGAAAUUCCCGGGCUUAACUUGGGCGCUGCUUCUGAAACUGCUUUACUUGAGUGCUGGAGAGGACAGUGGAAUUCCUAGUGUAGCGGUAAAAUGCGCAGAUAUUAGGAGGAACACCGGUGGCGAAGGCGGCUAUCUGGACAGUAACUGACGCUGAGGCGCGAAAGCACGGGGAGCAAACAGGAUUAGAUACCCUGGUAGUCCGUGCCGUAAACGAUGAAUACUAGGUGUAGGGGGUAUCGACUCCCUCUGUGCCGCAGUUAACACAUUAAGUAUUCCACCUGGGGAGUACGGCCGCAAGGUUGAAACUCAAAUGAAUUGACGGGG
Molecule: ribosomal RNA, 397 nt
Filed under: uncultured bacterium
Lineage: Bacteria
Description: partial 16S ribosomal RNA
Rfam family: Bacterial small subunit ribosomal RNA
Source: RNAcentral